CCCGUUUCAGAGUUUAUAAUGGGUGUGUAUGGGACGGAAUGUUGGGGCUAGAGUGAGGCAGCUCAACUGCUAGAGUGAGAGGAGCAAAAAAAUUAAUCUUAAAAUCUUUUUUAAAACUGCUGCUGUGUCCGCAGCGUUUGCUCUACAGGUAUGAUUUUACCCUCAAAACGUAGCCAUGGCUGUCCUCUUUCAUCCAAUGUGUUUACUAUUGUACUAGGUGUUAUGGUUCUUUCAUAAAUGUCACCAAUGCACAGCCUCCUCCCUCCAACUCUUCCAUAGACUCUAAUGUUAAAAUGGCUCAGAAGGUUCGUUUGAAAAUCAGAAGAGCAUGGUGUCUUUCCACUGUCACCACGUCCAUAUAAUAAACUCCACAGGCAUGAAAACUGAGAAUUCAGUAGACUAGAAGCUGCUGUCGCUCACGGUGAAAGAAUUUUGUCAAUACGACUUUUACUUUUCAUUUGGGAACGAUUUGUUUCGGCCUGACUUUUCUGUUCAUUUUAAGCAGCAAAAGUGAGGCGCAUGUCUGUGUACGUGUGUAUGGAGCCAUUGGGUGCGGUCACUAUAGCAACCAGGCUCACACCUGCCUGCUUAACGAGCUCUGCCUGCCACUGUACCAAGAUUCAUCUUAAGAACUUCUCUUUCAACUGCUGCUGUGUCCACAGUGUUACAGCCAUCAUUUUACCCUCAAAUUGUCGCCAUUAUUGUUCUCUUUCCAACACCGUAUCUUUCAAAGCUCAGGCAUUUAAACUUUUUAAACUGUGUGGAUCAAAGUGGAGGGAUCACAUUUGAGUCAUUCAGUGAUUCAAAGAAUAUGACCUUUUAAUAUUCAUUCAGAUGUUUUCUGACUCUAAAUGUUCUUUUCUCAUUUCUUAGGGUUUUCUAAUUUACAUUUAAAACAUUUUCAUUUUUUUUCCAACUCCUUCUUCUGUGUAACCUUCAGCUUUUAGCAGUUCAGCACCUUUGUUUUCAGGUUAAAUUCGGGGGUUUUUUUGUUUUUUUUUAAUCUCAUUCAAUAUUUUUAACUCAAAAUUCAGCAAUUAAUUCAUUUCAGUGCAUACAUUCAGAUUCAAGCAUUCACACUGCAGUUUCUUCAGAAAAUGCACUUUCUAGUUAUAUUUUAUUAUUAUUAUCUAUUCCGUACGUUUUUUGAAAGCCAACUCCUUCAAAACCGUUCAACUUAGAAAAACCAUUCAAACACCGUUAGAUUCCUAUUCUUUUGGACAACAUUGCUUCUAUUUUUCUCAUUUUUAACAUUUAUAUUUUUAAUUUUAUUCAACUUUUUUCAACAAAAAUUUAUAAUGUAUUUCAAUGGGGAGACCCUUCAAAUUCUCAUUCAACUUCAUCCUCUUUAAACUGUAUCUACUUCCACAUACAUUGACAUAGAGCCACCAUUCAAACUUUAAAACGAAGACAAGACAUUCAACUAUUCAACUUGUAUUUAUCUUUUCAAUAUCUAUUAUACUUUUUCUUCAGUUCCAGUUUAAGUUUCAUGAUGUUUUUUCACCCGUUUCAGAGUUUAUAAUGGGUGUGUAUGGGACGGAAUGUUGGGGCUAGAGUGAGGCAGCUCAACUGCUAGAGUGAGAGGAGCAAAAAAAUUAAUCUUAAAAUCUUUUUUAAAACUGCUGCUGUGUCCGCAGCGUUUGC
This is a long non-coding RNA of Astatotilapia calliptera (eastern happy), 1644 nucleotides long. The record is from Ensembl. Lineage: Eukaryota; Metazoa; Chordata; Actinopteri; Cichliformes; Cichlidae.